RNAcentral lists this ribosomal RNA (254 nucleotides) under uncultured bacterium. RNAcentral's name for it is "partial 16S ribosomal RNA". It matches the Rfam family "Bacterial small subunit ribosomal RNA", at positions 524 to 776 of the family's 1533-position model. The record is from RNAcentral.
UACAGAGGGUGCGAGCGUUGUCCGGAAUCACUGGGCGUAAAGGGCGCGUAGGCGGUUCAGUAAGUCGGGUGUGAAAACUUUGGGCUUAACCCAAAGCGUGCAUCCGAUACUGCUGUGACUUGAGUACGGUAGGGGAGCGGGGAAUUCCUAGUGUAGCGGUGAAAUGCGCAGAUAUUAGGAGGAACACCGGUGGCGAAGGCGCCGCUCUGGGCCGAAACUGACGCUGAGGAGCGAAAGCAUGGGUAGCAAACAGG